Molecule: ribosomal RNA, 469 nt
Filed under: uncultured bacterium
Lineage: Bacteria
Description: partial 16S ribosomal RNA
Rfam family: Bacterial small subunit ribosomal RNA
Source: RNAcentral
GACGAACGCUGGCGGCGUGCUUAACGCAUGCAAGUCGAACGGAAAGGCCCUGCUUGCAGGGUGCUCGAGUGGCGAACGGGUGAGUAACACGUGGGUGAUCUGCCCCUUACUUUGGGAUAAGCCUGGGAAACUGGGUCUAAUACUGGAUAGGACCAUGCUGUAGGUGGUGUGGUGGAAAGAUUAGUUUCGGUAAGGGAUGAGCUCGCGGCCUAUCAGCUUGUUGGUGGGGUAAUGGCCUACCAAGGCGUCGACGGGUAGCCGGCCUGAGAGGGUGGACGGCCACAUUGGGACUGAGAUACGGCCCAGACUCCUACGGGAGGCAGCAGUGGGGAAUAUUGCACAAUGGGCGCAAGCCUGAUGCAGCGACGCCGCGUGGGGGAUGACGGCCUUCGGGUUGUAAACUCCUUUCGGCCAUGACGAAGCCCUUGUGGUGACGGUAGUGGUAGAAGAAGCACCGGCUAACUACGUG